GAGGAGCCAUCUUGUCUCGUCGCCGGGGAGUCAGGCCCCUAAUUCGAAGAAGCCCUGGCGCGCCCUCCCCCCCUCCCCGGUCUGGUAGGGCGAAGGAGCGGGCGCGCGGUCGAUCGAGCGAUCGGUUGGCGGCUCUUUCUCCUGCUCUGGCAUCCAGCUCUUGGGGCGCAGGCCCGGCCGCCGCGGCGCGCGCCCGGUGGCCGUUGGCGCUCGCGCCGUGUCUUUCUUCUCGUACGCAGAACUCGGGCGGCGGCCUAUGCGUUUGCGAUUCGACGAGGAGUCGUCCGGGUGGUCGGCGGUGGCGGGCAGUUGCUCCGCCCCGCUCCCGGGGAGGCGGCGGCGGGAUUUGGCGCGUCUGGGGAAGCGGGGGUGGCCGGGGCGGGCCUGGAGGCCUGGCGCCACCCUUCGGGGCCUGCAAGGACCCAGUUGGAGGCACAGGAAGGUGCUGGGGGAUGGUUGGUGGUGGGCUUUCUACUUUGCCUUUUCCUCCUUAUGCCGCCUUAGUGAGAGGCGGGAGCUCUGGCGGCAGCUCGGGGGUGGGAGACAAGCUCCGGAGUCGGAAGAACUGGGUUUGCUUCCGGGCCUAGCCACCAGCUGGCCGAGUGACCUUAGGCAAGUCACUCUGUAAUAUGUCUGCGCCUCAGUUUCCUCCUCUGCCUAUCGAUGUUUGUGGAAUAAAAAUCGCUUUAUAAACUAUAAAGCGUCAGUGUACGUAAGGGAUAAUUAUCGUUUGUCAAUUUUUUUGAGUUGUAAGAAAACAGCAAUUGCCCAAUCCAUGGAUUUUGAACCUGGGAACCUUGGAUUGGAGUUGGAGAUCCCCAAACUCCCUGAAAUUGUAUGCAGAAAUUAGUGGGACUGUGCAUUUUAAGGGAACGAGGAUCCAUCUCCAACAAGUUUUCAAAAGGAGGUAUCACCUCUGAAGAGUUAAGAACCACAAUUUGUUUAUGCCAUAGGGAGGAAACUGAGGCCUAGAUGUCAUUUGAGAUCCUUCACAACCAAUUCGAAGCCCCUGUUUGAAUCCCUGGGAUAUGUGAGCUUUUUUGUGCAUAAUGGGUAUUCGGGGUAACAACACUCCACUGCUUGGCUUCUUUUCUGAUUCUUUUCUUUCCUUAUAGGGUGCCUGAAGGGUGGCUAAUGCAUAUGGUACUGUGGCACCUAUUAUAAAGCAGCGGAAAAUAAGAGUGGACAUGUUCUCUAGUGUCAAGAGGCAUAUUUAAUCUUUGGCCCAUUAACUGUUUGUUGCUGCUUAUACUGGUGCCUGACUGCCUUUCUGACUCUUUCACUGACCAUUUUCCACGACCAUGUUUGUCAUCUGUUACUUGCUCCUGUUUUAUAUCCCUAGUCUCUGUGGUUGGUGAUGAGCAGGUUUCUUUUUAAAUGGUGCUGCCAAGUCUAGCUAAUUAAUGGUGCAGGUGGAUUUUUAGCAAGCUGGCUCACUGGAACAGACUGAAUGAACCAGCCAUGGAAUUCCCAAAGAUAUUGGGGGUUAUCUUUAUUCAUUGAAGGUUAACAUUUGCUAAAAAGUUUUGUUGGAACCUCUGCUGAACCUCACAAUCAGUGGAUUUGGAAGUGUUUCAAAGCUUAACAUUUUCCUGGACUGCUUUGUAUUCUAUUUGCUUGCAAGUGUGUUACUACAGUGGCCAAAAUGCCAGUUUUUUGCUUCUUUGUUAAUUGUCAGCUGCUUUUAUCUAAUUCCAGGCUAUUGCCCAGCAAACACUAUAGAAAUGUUUGAACAGUUGGAUUCAGACAUUUUUGUUUUGUGGAGUGGUACAGCUCUAAGCAAGUGAACACACAAGUUUAAGUGUAUUUUGUCUGGUUAGGUGUUACCUGGUUCUGCUAUUGCAUACAAAUAUCUGGAAAAAGUCAAUUGACUGUACCCUUUACCUAAAGGGCAGAGACAAAUGAUCUCACUGCCAGAGAAAUAACUUUUUUGGAGAAAAAUGUAUUGGUCUUUUAGGUUUUUUGUAAUAAAAUCUGGAUGUACUACAAAAGAAUCACAAGACUGUGGUGAUAAGAUGCUUUUCUUGGCAGAAGGGGGAAAAAAACAACUGGAACUCUAAGCUUGAAAUUCUGUGACAAAAUGUGAGAUGUCCAGGAUAGAAGGUUGAAAGUGUUUCACUACAGUAUUCUUCACUAGCUGGAGCAGAUGUCUUUCAGUGUAGCCACGCAUGGGCUCCAGAUUUGCAAGACGGGGACCUGCAGGAGCUUGAUGAGGAUGUGACAAGAACUCUGAAGUUGGAUGCUUUUAUUUUUGAAUUUUGGGACUAUUGACCUCACUUUCAGAAGAGAGACUGACUAAACAAACAAUGCCACCAGCACUGUUACGGGGAAUUCGAAGUCCUGAGUUUCUGCCAGAUCCUCAGUUGCAAACUGGUGACGCUGCAUCCAAAGCAAACUACGACAGCAAACCCCUUGAGGAAAAAGGGAUCUUAACGAAUCUUUGCCCACACAUACUACCACAUAUGAUGAAGCUUUUAAUAGAACGGAGGAAUUUAGAAAGCAGGCUAUCUCUGAAUAAGCAUUCACCUACAGAUUUGGUACCUGGAUUUUUGCCCAUGGUGAUUCCUAUUAUCUUACUACUGAAGAAGACACCAUUCCAGUGGACCACUGUGACCCCAGGAGCAUUCAGCCAUCAUGAUGUGGCCUUCACCUACUUGUGUCCUAUUCUGCCCAGAUUGAGCACCACCCUUUAUGUGAUGAAGCCAAAUAGCUGAAGCUGUUUAAUCACAACAAAGGCCCAUAAGUGUGUAUUUUGUUUCUUCAGUUCAAACCUUCAGAGACACACAAUACAUUUGGAACAGGGGAUUUUUAGUUUUCAACACUGUCUAAAGAAUGGCAACAUCUUGAGAACAACAUUGGACCACAUCCCACAGUCUCAAAUGUUUGAAGUAUAUGAAGUGUCAAGAAUCCCAUCCAUGUCACUGGACACUGUUCUUUUCCACUUCAGAUCUGUAGUAUCCUACUGAAAGAGAAAGCAGAUAUUCAGACUUACUGGAAUUAAAACAAAGGCACAAUGAAGGCCUCAUAGCAUCUUCUUUGGGAUUACUCAGGAACCAGAACUUCUCACACAAAUGUAAGAAAUUUUACAAAGGAAUCCUUUACCUAACAGCAUCUCACAAGGCUUCAAUCAGAUUCCAGAAAAGGCCUCUUGAGACAUCCAGGUAGAACCUAUAUGCAUUUUGUGAACAACUUAUUCUUAGAUCAUUGGUUUUCCAAAGGCUUUGUGGCCAUGAAGCCCUUUGAAUGAAAACUAUGCGGAAACCUAAAGUAAAAGUGAAGCUGCUCUGGAUGAAGCAGGAGUGGGGGGCCUGAAACCUGCUACAAGCAUCUUCCUUUACCACCAUGGUGACACCUAAGGACUUCUUUACAACACCUAGAAUUCUUCAGAACACAUUCGAAAAACACUGCCCUAAACAACAAUACGUUUGACCUGAAUGGUAUUCUGAUCUGUACCUCUACUCAGUACAGUCCAUGUUCAAGUGGUACAGAAUAUUCGUAGGAAUACUUCUGUGGGCAAACUCAAAAAAGUCUAAGAAGAUCAGUAUGUCUUUGUCCAGCCCCACCCCCCAAGAAGUUAUAUGGGCUAAAAGUGGUUAUCAACUGGACCUAAAAUUACAGCCCUCUACCCCCGAUGGACUUCCAGUGAUUGCUGGGUUUGGAUCUAGACUGAGUGAUUCAUACGUACUUAACACUGACAAAAACCCCUUUGCCUAACAUCUUUCACAAAUACCAGAUGCUCUAGUGGUACUUGAAAUGUGAGUUUGAAGUCUUGAUUCUCCUUGAAUACCUGAAUUGCCAGGUGUUGACGCUGAUGCCUCAUUGAGGCUGUAGUAGACCAACUUGUACAUUUGGACCUCCCAUCAUCAGCUGUGGUACUCUAUUUCAUAUGCAAGUGAUAACCAUUAACUAUGAAGCAAAAUUCAGAUAUUGGCAACGUUAACUAAAAGGGUACCUGUUUUUUUUUUUCAUUCAUCUUACUCUCAGACUACAAGUUACUAUGACUCAACCAUUGGUGGUGUUACUGCUGUUUGGUUUUUAUUCAUUUCAACGUCUGUUUCUGGGAUAAAUGAGCUAAUAACCUUUAAAAAGCUAAAACAAUUCCUCCAUCAUUGGUAUAUCUGCCUGGCAUAUUCUGCUCUAAAAUUAUGAAUACUGAUCUCUAACUACAUGUAAGACCUGAUCUACAAGAGACAGUCUUUGAACAUCUUUUCUCAUGUAUGUGAUUUAAAAUGUGACCAUUUGGAAUAUUUUUUAUACCACUGAGCAUUUUUCCUUAAGGUGGGUCCUAUGAUGUCUGGUACCAUCAGCUGUAGGUAUUAAGGAUAUUUUGAGGUAGGCCUUUUGACUAGGCCGUGGUAGCUUACUUGCUGGGACUUUCAAGUUGGUGUAUCAUCUUUUUUUUUUUUCCUGGAUAUGUAGACAUGAAAAACAUCUACAAAGCCUACAGCUAUGGAUUUUAUCAGGAGACUCAAGCUUCCUGCUGCUGCUUCCUAAUGUCACAAGACCACAGUCCCUCAUUGUGGAUAUGUGCAUGGAAUUUUAGCUAUCUCGAUAACUGUUUUACACUGAUUCAGAGUGGCCAACUUCAUUCCUUGCCAUGAGAUGCUCUCAGGCAUUGAAACAACUUACCUGUUUUUGCAGGAAGGAUUCAGCUUAUGAACUUCCAGACCAGAUCAUGUUGAACAACUAGACUUUGAUUUAUAUCAUGAGAAGAGUCUCAUUUACUUCACAGUUGACUUAAGGGCCAGCUGUCCUCAACUACUUUCAUGAAUGCACUGGUUAAAUGUUGGGAAUGGUUUCUUUAUAUCUCUCUUAUCCACUAGACUAAUUAUGAUUACAUGACUUGGUCUGCAGAUCGUCCAAGUGGCCUAAGUCUGGUUACUCUCGCCAUCAACAAAUAAAAAUAAAAGAUGACUAUCCUGCUUGUAUAUACAACUAUUAUUUGUGAAGAAAAAAAUUAUCUACAAACUCAGUUUUCUUACUACCUUCAAAAUAUCAGCUGGAUUUUUUUCACCUGUACAGAAAAAGACAUCUAUACUGCCAUUCAUUCCCUUUAAUCCUGUCCCACUCAGUCAAAAUGAGGGGCUUAAAGUGAAGAUGACCACCUUUCAAGAGUCUAAUGAAUACCAUGUGUCAGAAUUGAUGGAUGAAAAAGCCUAAAAAUCAAGCUUAGGAACUUACCUACUAAUCUCCAUGCCUCAAAUCUCAUCUAAGUCUGUCCAGUAGCACCAUUCAACCAGUUUGAGGCCUUGACUUGCUUUUAAUUCCCAGAGAUGUGCUGAAUCAUAGAAGAUGGAGACUUGAUUACCAAAGAAAGUAGGGCCAACUUUGACAAACCCUAUCACAAGUGUAGCAUAAACACCUAAACAGAACCUCACUUGGACUGAGAAUAUAGCCUUUUCCUGAGCUGAACAUUCUUGGACAAAUGAGCUGCUGUACCUAACUGGCUAUUUAAGGUCAGAAAAUUGUAUCCAGAGUAAACGCUAUAGAUUAACCCUGGAGUGCUCAGGGUAAAAACUAAUUUUCAGAGCUUUGGUAUUAAACUCUGUGUUCUUCCAUAUUAUAUCCUGGUUAUUGGUAUGGCUGGCCCUGCUGAAGGUACCCUACUUACCUAUUUAUCUUACUCAGCCCCUGCCUGCCUUUGUUGACAUGUUUGUGCAAUCAGACUUGCUGUCUUCAAGAUGAUUACAACUGAUCUCAGCCUAUUUUAUACCCAGUUCCACCAAGAUUUUUGAACAGAAGCAACCUGUACCUCACCCCACCAGGACUUUAAUGUUCUCAACAGGAAGGACCAUGCUGCCUUUGACCAGCAGCAACCUUUUUUUUUUUUUUUUUUUUUUUUUUUUUUUAGUGCAGAGGAAGCCUCUAAGCGUGUAUAUAUUUGAUCAUUUUCAGCACCUGGGACCCCUUCUAUCAGAUCUGAAAGAGUACAGCAGAUCAAAAGCAGUCAGUUUCUCUCUUCUGCAGUAAUAUAGAAGUGAGUCUGAUUCACCAGUUCAGAAAUGAGAAAUGUUCAACUUGGCAAAAGACUUGAACACAAGAAAACUUUAUACGAACUUAAAAUUUACCAUUGACUUGAAAACCCUCACAUACUAUUUGCCAUUGGGAGGCUAGUUGUAUUGCAUUAUUGUCAACUUGAUAGUUGGGCUCUCCGACUCAUGUUAUAUUGAAGCUAUUGAAUCAUCCAGAGUAUGUUACUGGACAUGAUUAUUCCAUUCCAAUAAGUUUCCUGAGUACAGGAUAUAAUCCCCAUGAUGGUUUUGUUUUUGUUUUAAUGCUUUUAUUAAGAAAGUAACAGUGCCAGCUGUUAUCAUUCAACUUUAUGAGCAAAGAUUAAACUUUUAGAAUAUCCGGUCUUAUCACUGAUACUAUUUUUAAUUGACCAGCAAUUCAUUCCAUCUCUUUGUAACAGCUCCCUGAUGUUUCUUGGAACCAUAUCUAUUUUCAGUCUGCAUAGUUCAGACAGUCUGACCUAACCUUAAGUUUCAUGUUGGACACAUAGUUCAUACCUGAUCAGUCAACAAUCAUCUCCUUCACCAUAGUGAUUGAUUCAGGAAUGGUCAUGUGAUUCAAGUUGAUCCAGUGAUACUCAACCCUAGGAGUUUUACUGAACUAUGGAAGAAGAAAAGCUCAGAAACUCAAUUUACUGAGGUUGCUUAACUUUGUAGGAUGAAAAAAACCUCAGACCACCAGGAGUCCACCAUAUCAAAUGAGCCAGUCAGAAAAUGAAGCCAGUGCAGAGGAAAGCGGAGCCAAAUGAUGGAGACUUGAGUCCUGAUGACAAUGUUUGUGCUCCUGGAUCCACCCGUGCCUGAAGCUAGUAUAUCCUCUGGAUUUUUUCAGUUUUGUGAACCAAUAAAUACUCUUUUGUUUUAAGUUA
Molecule: long non-coding RNA, 6880 nt
Organism: Phyllostomus discolor (pale spear-nosed bat)
Lineage: Eukaryota; Metazoa; Chordata; Mammalia; Chiroptera; Phyllostomidae
Exons: 4
Source: RefSeq, a predicted model, not a curated record